GGAAGCGUGCCCGAAAGUUAAGGACCUCCUUGAUAGGGAGGAUUAUAGGGGUUCAAAUCCCCUC
This 64-nucleotide transfer RNA is filed under the name Scinax perpusillus (Bandeirantes snouted treefrog). RNAcentral describes it as "partial tRNA-Ile". It matches the Rfam family "tRNA". From Rfam's summary of the family: Transfer RNA (tRNA) molecules are approximately 80 nucleotides in length. Lineage: Eukaryota; Metazoa; Chordata; Amphibia; Anura; Hylidae. The record is from RNAcentral.